GUGCAUUUUUCAGCAGCACAUAUACUAAAAUAUUGUAAUGAUACAGAGAUUAGCAUGGCCUUUGCUCAAGGAUGACACACAAAUUCAUAAAUUAUAAAUGUAAAAU
This is a small nuclear RNA of Gracilinanus agilis (Agile Gracile Mouse Opossum), 106 nucleotides long. Lineage: Eukaryota; Metazoa; Chordata; Mammalia; Didelphimorphia; Didelphidae. The record is from RefSeq and is a predicted model, not a curated record.